GGGUAGCCGGCCUGAGAGGGCGACCGGCCACACUGGGACUGAGACACGGCCCAGACUCCUACGGGAGGCAGCAGUGGGGAAUAUUGCACAAUGGGCGAAAGCCUGAUGCAGCGACGCCGCGUGAGGGAUGACGGCCUUCGGGUUGUAAACCUCUUUCAGCACCGACGAAGCGAAAGUGACGGUACCUGCAGAAGAAGCGCCGGCUAACUACGUGCCAGCAGCCGCGGUAAUACGUAGGGUGCGAGCGUUGUCCGGAAUUAUUGGGCGUAAAGAGCUCGUAGGCGGUUUGUCGCGUCGGUAGUGAAAACCCGGGGCUUAACUCCGGGCCUGCUUUCGAUACGGGCAGACUAGAGUGUGGUAGGGGAGAUCGGAAUUCCUGGUGUAGCGGUGAAAUGCGCAGAUAUCAGGAGGAACACCGGUGGCGAAGGCGGUUCUCUGGGCCCUUCCUGACGCUGAGGAGCGAAAGCGUGGGGAGCGAACAGGAUUAGAUACCCUGGUAGUCCACGCCGUAAACGUUGGGCACUAGGUGUGGGAGACAUUC
RNAcentral lists this ribosomal RNA (541 nucleotides) under uncultured bacterium. RNAcentral describes it as "bacterial SSU rRNA". It matches the Rfam family "Bacterial small subunit ribosomal RNA", at positions 281 to 834 of the family's 1533-position model. The record is from RNAcentral.